Molecule: small nuclear RNA, 104 nt
Organism: Acomys russatus (golden spiny mouse)
Lineage: Eukaryota; Metazoa; Chordata; Mammalia; Rodentia; Muridae
Source: RefSeq, a predicted model, not a curated record
GUAAUAUUUGCAGCACAUAUGCUAAAAUUGAAACAAUAUGGAGAAGAUUGGCAUUGGUCCUAUGCAAGGAUUACACAAAAUUUGUAAAGUGUUCCAUAAUUUAU